RNAcentral lists this unclassified non-coding RNA (371 nucleotides) under uncultured fungus. Its description in RNAcentral is "sequence contains ITS1". The stretch from base 1 to 103 matches the Rfam family "5.8S ribosomal RNA", at positions 50 to 154 of the family's 154-position model. Lineage: Eukaryota; Fungi. The record is from RNAcentral.
GAAAUGCGAUACUUGGUGUGAAUUGCAGAAUUCCGUGAAUCAUCUAAUUUUUGAACGCACAUUGCACUCUGUUGAAAGGCAGAGUAUGCCUGUUUGAGAAUCUAUAGUAUUUCUUUUGUCAUUUUAGACAAAGAUUUGAACUUUCUCUACAAAGAGUGGUUUGAAAUUUAUCGCUGGUAUUGCUCAAAAGUAAUGAUUCUAAGCAAUACAACAGAACAGUAUGUGAAUGAAACCUUGGUUUCUCAUAAUGCUCAGUAAGUUGUCGCUAGAUAGCUUUUGAUUAAUAAUAGCUCAUAACUAUUAAAGUUUAUUAGUAAUAGUAAACUUUGAACCAUGGUCUCAAAUCAGGUAGGAUUACCCGCUGAACUUAA